This 614-nucleotide ribosomal RNA is filed under the name Trichoderma longibrachiatum. RNAcentral describes it as "eukaryotic LSU rRNA". The stretch from base 229 to 382 matches the Rfam family "5.8S ribosomal RNA". The record is from RNAcentral. Lineage: Eukaryota; Fungi; Ascomycota; Sordariomycetes; Hypocreales; Hypocreaceae.
GGGGUUCCGGGAGCUCACUCCCAACCCCAAUGUGAACGUUACCAAUCUGUUGCCUCGGCGGGAUUCUCUUGCCCCGGGCGCGUCGCAGCCCCGGAUCCCAUGGCGCCCGCCGGAGGACCAACUCCAAACUCUUUUUUUCUCUCCGUCGCGGCUCCCGUCGCGGCUCUGUUUUAUUUUUGCUCUGAGCCUUUCUCGGCGACCCUAGCGGGCGUCUCGAAAAUGAAUCAAAACUUUCAACAACGGAUCUCUUGGUUCUGGCAUCGAUGAAGAACGCAGCGAAAUGCGAUAAGUAAUGUGAAUUGCAGAAUUCAGUGAAUCAUCGAAUCUUUGAACGCACAUUGCGCCCGCCAGUAUUCUGGCGGGCAUGCCUGUCCGAGCGUCAUUUCAACCCUCGAACCCCUCCGGGGGGUCGGCGUUGGGGAUCGGCCCCUCACCGGGCCGCCCCCGAAAUACAGUGGCGGUCUCGCCGCAGCCUCUCCUGCGCAGUAGUUUGCACACUCGCACCGGGAGCGCGGCGCGGCCACAGCCGUAAAACACCCCAAACUUCUGAAAUGUUGACCUCGGAUCAGGUAGGAAUACCCGCUGAACUUAAGCAUAUCAAUAAAGCGGAGGAA